GACAAACGCUGGCGGCGUGCUUAACACAUGCAAGUCGAACGGAAAGGCCCUGCUUUUGUGGGGUGCUCGAGUGGCGAACGGGUGAGUAACACGUGAGUAACCUGCCCUUGACUUUGGGAUAACUUCAGGAAACUGGGGCUAAUACCGGAUAGGAGCUCCUGCUGCAUGGUGGGGGUUGGAAAGUUUCGGCGGUUGGGGAUGGACUCGCGGCUUAUCAGCUUGUUGGUGGGGUAGUGGCUUACCAAGGCUUUGACGGGUAGCCGGCCUGAGAGGGUGACCGGCCACAUUGGGACUGAGAUACGGCCCAGACUCCUACGGGAGGCAGCAGUGGGGAAUAUUGCACAAUGGGCGGAAGCCUGAUGCAGCAACGCCGCGUGCGGGAUGACGGCCUUCGGGUUGUAAACCGCUUUCGCCUGUGACGAAGCGUGAGUGACGGUAAUGGGUAAAGAAGCACCGGCUAACUACGUGCCAGCAGCCGCGGUGAUACGUAGGGUGCGAGCGUUGUCCGGAUUUAUUGGGCGUAAAGGGCUCGUAGGUGGUUGAUCGCGUCGGAAGUGUAAUCUUGGGGCUUAACCCUGAGCGUGCUUUCGAUACGGGUUGACUUGAGGAAGGUAGGGGAGAAUGGAAUUCCUGGUGGAGCGGUGGAAUGCGCAGAUAUCAGGAGGAACACCAGUGGCGAAGGCGGUUCUCUGGGCCUUUCCUGACGCUGAGGAGCGAAAGCGUGGGGAGCGAACAGGCUUAGAUACCCUGGUAGUCCACGCUGUAAACGGUGGGUACUAGGUGUGGGGUCCAUUCCACGGGUUCCGUGCCGUAGCUAACGCUUUAAGUACCCCGCCUGGGGAGUACGGCCGAAAGGCUAAAACUCAAAGGAAUUGACGGGGCCCCGCACAAGCGGCGGAGCAUGCGGAUUAAUUCGAUGCAACGCGUAGAACCUUACCUGGGUUUGACAUGGAUCGGGAGUGCUCAGAGAUGGGUGUGCCUCUUUUGGGGUCGGUUCACAGGUGGUGCAUGGCUGUCGUCAGCUCGUGUCGUGAGAUGUUGGGUUAAGUCCCGCAACGAGCGCAACCCUUGUUCACUGUUGCCAGCACGUUAUGGUGGGGACUCAGUGGAGACCGCCGGGGUCAACUCGGAGGAAGGUGGGGAUGACGUCAAGUCAUCAUGCCCCUUAUGUCCAGGGCUUCACGCAUGCUACAAUGGCUGGUACAGAGAGUGGCGAGCCUGUGAGGGUGAGCGAAUCUCGGAAAGCCGGUCUCAGUUCGGAUUGGGGUCUGCAACUCGACCUCAUGAAGUCGGAGUCGCUAGUAAUCGCAGAUCAGCAACGCUGCGGUGAAUACGUUCCCGGGGCU
This 1346-nucleotide ribosomal RNA is filed under the name uncultured bacterium. RNAcentral describes it as "partial 16S ribosomal RNA". It matches the Rfam family "Bacterial small subunit ribosomal RNA", at positions 28 to 1381 of the family's 1533-position model. The record is from RNAcentral.